RNAcentral lists this ribosomal RNA (497 nucleotides) under uncultured bacterium. Its description in RNAcentral is "partial 16S ribosomal RNA". It matches the Rfam family "Bacterial small subunit ribosomal RNA", at positions 28 to 507 of the family's 1533-position model. The record is from RNAcentral.
GAUGAACGCUGGCGGCGUGCCUAAUACAUGCCAGUCGAGCGAACAGACGAGGAGCUUGCUCCUUCGACGUUAGCGGCGGACGGGUGAGUAACACGUAGGUAACCUACCUAUAAGACUGGGAUAACUUCGGGAAACCGGAGCUAAUACCGGAUAAUAUUUCGAACCGCAUGGUUCGAUAGUGAAAGAUGGCUUUGCUAUCACUUAUAGAUGGACCUGCGCCGUAUUAGCUAGUUGGUAAGGUAACGGCUUACCAAGGCAACGAUACGUAGCCGACCUGAGAGGGUGAUCGGCCACACUGGAACUGGGACGCGGUCCAGACUCCUACGGGAGGCAGCAGUAGGGAAUCUUCCGCAAUGGGCGAAAGCCUGACGGAGCAACGCCGCGUGAGUGAUGAAGGUCUUCGGAUCGUAAAACUCUGUUAUUAGGGAAGAACAAACGUGUAAGUAACUGUGCACGUCUUGACGGUACCUAAUCAGAAAGCCACGGCUAACUACGUG